Molecule: ribosomal RNA, 295 nt
Filed under: uncultured bacterium
Lineage: Bacteria
Description: partial 16S ribosomal RNA
Rfam family: Bacterial small subunit ribosomal RNA
Source: RNAcentral
AUUUUCCUACGGGGGGCAGCAGUGAGGAAUAUUGGUCAAUGGACGCAAGUCUGAACCAGCCAAGGCGCGUGCAGGAUGACGGCCCUCCGGGUUGUAAACUGCUUUUAGUGGGGAAUAAAAGGGGGCUCGUGAGCCCCGUAUUGUAUGAACCAUAAGAAAAAGGACCGGCUAAUUCCGUGCCAGCAGCCGCGGUAACACGGAAGGUGCGGGCGUUAUCCGGAGUUAUUGGGGUUAAAGGGAGCGUAGGCCGACUGUUAAGUCAGCUGUGAAAGUCCGCGGCUCAACCGUGGUAUUG